Macaca mulatta (Rhesus monkey) is the source of this 1514-nucleotide non-coding RNA. Lineage: Eukaryota; Metazoa; Chordata; Mammalia; Primates; Cercopithecidae. The record is from RefSeq and is a predicted model, not a curated record.
UGGAAAGCCCCUGAGUGCUACUUUCCUAAUGGAAAGAGCUCAGAGGGAAUGGCUUCUGAGCCUUCACCACCAAGGACAGCAUGAAACUAGCCACUUGCCACCUGGCUAUACCUAAUAUGCUAAACCACAUAUGAAGAAGGGAGCUCCAGAAAGAUAUAUUGCAAGCCCCCAAGAAGGUAUGACUCCUUGUGAGUUUGCAAGAUCUAGCAUACACAGGCAGGCUCUUUAUUCUGGGGAGGUAGGUGUGAGGUUUUUCUCUGCUACUGGAGUAUGGGAAGAGGUAAGCCAUUCUCUAAAUCUCAGACGUUUUUCUCUCUGAGUUUGUGGAGUGGUUUCUAAUGUAAGUGCUAACUUACACUGCUGCUAAUUGCUGCUGAUUGCUGGUAAAUUGCUGGCAAUAGCAACUGGCUGUCCUGGCAGCAGCAAUGGCAUAUCCCAAGAUAGCAGAAGCAGGGAUGGAAAGCUGUAAGUGGUGCUGGGAUGCCUGGAUGAGAAGCCCAGAUUGCCAAGGCAGCCUAACAAGCCACUUGGCAAGGGGAGCCCAGAAGGAAAACCUCACUUGGAAACCCAAGGCCACUAAGAGGUAGGGAAACAGAGAGCAUGAUUCCAGCAGACACUGGGACUCUGCUGCAUUAAUCUUCUUGUUAAAAGUUGAAUGGAUGCCACUAACCUUGAGGAAAGUUGCUUCUUAGUAGCUCAGUGUGUCAGAAUUCUGAAGAAAUACAAGAUAAAAUAAGGGGAGUAAUAUCAAAUGGAAAUAAGGAAAUUCAAGAUUUUGGUAAACUGAUAAAAAUUAGUGAAGGGCAUGCAUGCUGACAUGUAACAGAAGAUUAUUCCAGAAUGUUAGGAUUACCUAAUAAUUAUUGGCCCAUCCUUCUUCUCUCCAGCACACUUUUAAGGGAGAACUUUCUUCUUCACUUCUGAUUUUCCUCUUCUCCUGGGCUGGUGUGAAAAUAUGUACAGAAGAAGUCCUUUCCAUGUAUGAUUGAUUGAUUUAUUGAACAAACGUUUAUUGAGCCCAGUGACUGCACUAUCCUAGGCUUUAGGCCUAUAACAUGAUAUUAGAUGGAAUUUAACUUGUUUCAGGCUUUUUCUGCUCUUUCCUUACUCCUUUGACAGUUUAAUGCAGCUAUCAACCCUGCCUGGAUGCUCCUUCCUUUUCUUUUUUAGGUUGGGAUGGAUGGGGGUGGGACAGGUGGGACUACCUGUCCCUGAGGCAGACAGAUGAUGUUCCAGAGGGAGACUAGGGCACUUUCUUGGUAAUUUAUAGGUCAUCAACAGACAUAAAGGGAAAGGAAGUGCCACUUGAAGUUACUGUGUCAGCUGAGGACUCAAGCAUAUGAACAUGUGAUGUACCAUUCCCUACUCAUUGGAACACCUAUAGAAAACAAGGAUCAAAGAAGUUACAUGGUUCAUCAAUAGUUACAGAGAUGACAUGAAAGUUUAUGUGGAAAAUCCCAAUGAACCUACGUAAGAAGCAGGAGGGGGAGGAGAAGGAGAAGAAGAAGGAGGAG